UUUCAUGAGAGUUUGAUCCUGGCUCAGGACGAACGCUGGCGGCGUGCCUAAUACAUGCAAGUCGAACGAACC
This 72-nucleotide ribosomal RNA is filed under the name Streptococcus suis. RNAcentral describes it as "partial 16S ribosomal RNA". It matches the Rfam family "Bacterial small subunit ribosomal RNA", at positions 1 to 72 of the family's 1533-position model. The record is from RNAcentral. Lineage: Bacteria; Bacillati; Bacillota; Bacilli; Lactobacillales; Streptococcaceae.